RNAcentral lists this transfer RNA (78 nucleotides) under Persephonella marina EX-H1. RNAcentral's name for it is "tRNA-Ala". It matches the Rfam family "tRNA". Rfam says of the family: Transfer RNA (tRNA) molecules are approximately 80 nucleotides in length. The record is from RNAcentral. Lineage: Bacteria; Pseudomonadati; Aquificota; Aquificia; Aquificales; Hydrogenothermaceae.
UGGGGUCGUAGCUCAGCUGGGAGAGCGUUGCCUCGGCAUGGCAAAGGUCGCGGGUUCGAAUCCCGCCGACUCCAUCUC